This 1286-nucleotide long non-coding RNA is filed under the name Monodelphis domestica (gray short-tailed opossum). RNAcentral's name for it is "lncRNA (ENSMODG00000038458.1)". Lineage: Eukaryota; Metazoa; Chordata; Mammalia; Didelphimorphia; Didelphidae. The record is from RNAcentral.
GGGGGCAGCUGGGUAGCUCAGUGGAUUGAGAGUCAGGCCUUGAGAUGGGAGGUCCUGGGUUCAAAUCUGGUCUUAGACACUUCCCAGCUGUGUGACCCUGGGCAAGUCACUUAACCCCCAUUGCCUAGCUCUUACUGCUCUUCUCCUGCAAGGGACCAGCCCCUUACGACCCCUGAGAGGGGAGGGGGAGAGAGAGAGGGAAAGGGGAAGCGACAAAGAAGGUACCGACAGCUCUCACAUGGUAUGCAAUGAGGAGUCGUUUAUUGAGGGGAAAGAUUAAGAUGGAGCUUGGCCAGAGGCCAAGCUCCUGCAAGCACAGCCAUCGCCUAGCCUGGACGACCUACCAUUCCUCAAGAUCUGUUCGAUCUCUACCCGUUACUGUAAUCUCGAUUUCCUCAGGAUCCUGUUCGAUCCUUACCCGUUAAUCUCGAUUUCGGCGCCGAAUUUUUCCUCAGUCGUCCGGUGGUCGCUCGGGCCCCACGUUGGAGCGCCAGAUGCAAGGGACCAGCCCCUUACGACCCCUGAGAGGGGAGGGGGAGAGAGAGAGGGAAAGGGGAAGCGACAAAGAAGGUACCGACAGCUCUCACAUGGUAUGCAAUGAGGAGUCGUUUAUUGAGGGGAAAGAUUAAGAUGGAGCUUGGCCAGAGGCCAAGCUCCUGCAAGCACAGCCAUCGCCUAGCCUGAAAGAGGAGAGAGGGGAAGAAAAAGCGAGGCGGAGCCCGCUGGGCCAUAAAUACCAUUUGCUACGUAGUACAUAGAGAUGACCCUCAUUGGUCAAUGACAAGGCAUAGGUGUGGUUUCUCUUAACCAGGGGAGAACAAAGAAACUUGUUUUCCCGCCUAAGCUGGGAGAAGCUGGGGUCAAGGGUCAGGGGCCUUCCCAGCCAUGAGCACUACUGAGCAUGCCCAAGACUGACUGUUCCCCUUGCCCCUGGGCUGCUACAUUCUCCCUUGGAACCAAUACACGGUAUUGAUUCCAAGACGGUAGGUAUGACUUUAAAAAAAAAAAAGAAAAAGAAAACAUAAAUAGUUGCAUAGAUAAAUGGAUGGAGAAUGGAGUUAUUACUGUAUUAAAGGGAAGUGAUUGAUGCUUGGGGUCCAUAUUUAACUUUUUGAGAUUAAUGACAGAAAGUACUUGUGCCUUCCCAUAAACCCUGGUUUGGUGGACUGUUUAUCUGACCCAAGAGGCCAGGUCUUUGAUUCAUACUCUUUGAUUCCAAGAAUCCUCCUUGCUAUAAGCCAGCCAGAGAGCAGAGCACUAAUUUUCUAACUCCUGUCAUAUUAUUG